UGGGGAAUUUUGGACAAUGGGCGAAAGCCUGAUCCAGCAAUGCCGCGUGUGUGAAGAAGGCCUUCGGGUUGUAAAGCACUUUUGUCCGGAAAGAAAUCCUUGGCUCUAAUACAGUCGGGGGAUGACGGUACCGGAAGAAUAAGCACCGGCUAACUACGUGCCAGCAGCCGCGGUAAUACGUAGGGUGCAAGCGUUAAUCGGAAUUACUGGGCGUAAAGCGUGCGCAGGCGGUUUGCUAAGACCGAUGUGAAAUCCCCGGGCUCAACCUGGGAACUGCAUUGGUGACUGGCAGGCUAGAGUAUGGCAGAGGGGGGUAGAAUUCCACGCGUAGCAGUGAAAUGCGUAGAGAUGUGGAGGAAUACCGAUGGCGAAGGCAGCCCCCUGGGCAAUACUGACGCUCAUGCACGAAAGCGUGGGGAGCAAACAGGAUUAGAUACCCUGGUAGUCCACGCCCUAAACGAUGUCAACUAGUUGUUGGGGAUUCAUUUCCUUAGUAACGUAGCUAACGCGUGAAGUUGACCGCCUGGGGAGUACGGUCGCAAGAUUAAAACUUAAAUGAAUUGACGGGGUCAUAGCUGUUUCCU
RNAcentral lists this ribosomal RNA (584 nucleotides) under uncultured bacterium. RNAcentral's name for it is "partial 16S ribosomal RNA". It matches the Rfam family "Bacterial small subunit ribosomal RNA", at positions 355 to 1375 of the family's 1533-position model. The record is from RNAcentral.